UGAGGAAUAUUGGUCAAUGGGCGAGAGCCUGAACCAGCCAAGUAGCGUGCAGGAUGACGGCCCUAUGGGUUGUAAACUGCUUUUGUAUGGGGAUAAAGUCAGUCACGUGUGAUUGUUUGCAGGUACCAUACGAAUAAGGACCGGCUAAUUCCGUGCCAGCAGCCGCGGUAAUACGGAAGGUCCGGGCGUUAUCCGGAUUUAUUGGGUUUAAAGGGAGCGUAGGCCGGAGAUUAAGUGUGUUGUGAAAUGUAGACGCUCAACGUCUGACUUGCAGCGCAUACUGGUUUCCUUGAGUACGCACAACGUUGGCGGAAUUCGUCGUGUAGCGGUGAAAUGCUUAGAUAUGACGAAGAACUCCGAUUGCGAAGGCAGCUGACGGGAGCGCAACUGACGCUGAAGCUCGAAGGUGCGGGUAUCGAACAGGAUUAGAUACCCUGGUAGUCCGCACAGUAAACGAUGGAUGCCCGCUGUUGGUACGUGGUAUCAGCGGCUAAGCGAAAGCAUUAAGCAUCCCACCUGGGGAGUACNCCGGCNACGGU
Molecule: ribosomal RNA, 539 nt
Filed under: uncultured bacterium
Lineage: Bacteria
Description: bacterial SSU rRNA
Rfam family: Bacterial small subunit ribosomal RNA
Source: RNAcentral